This 72-nucleotide transfer RNA is filed under the name Alistipes sp. RNAcentral's name for it is "tRNA-Gly". It matches the Rfam family "tRNA". From Rfam's summary of the family: Transfer RNA (tRNA) molecules are approximately 80 nucleotides in length. Their secondary structure includes four short double-helical elements and three loops (D, anti-codon, and T loops). Lineage: Bacteria; Pseudomonadati; Bacteroidota; Bacteroidia; Bacteroidales; Rikenellaceae. RNAcentral also lists the same sequence under 1 other name. The record is from RNAcentral.
GCGGUAGUAGCUCAAUGGUAGAGCAUCGGCUUCCCAAGCCGAGGGUUACGGGUUCGAAUCCCGCCUACCGCU